This 122-nucleotide ribosomal RNA is filed under the name Myxotrichaceae sp. RNAcentral's name for it is "partial small subunit ribosomal RNA". It matches the Rfam family "Eukaryotic small subunit ribosomal RNA", at positions 1660 to 1779 of the family's 1831-position model. The record is from RNAcentral. Lineage: Eukaryota; Fungi; Ascomycota; Leotiomycetes; Myxotrichaceae.
UUGUACACACCGCCCGUCGCUACUACCGAUUGAAUGGCUCAGUGAGGCUUUCGGACUGGCCUAGGGAGAGUGGCAACACUCACCCAGGGCCGGAAAGUUGUCCAAACUUGGUCAUUUAGAGG